AUGAAGCUCCCGCUGUCGGCGGGGUCGCCCGACGCGGCGCCGGAGAUGGCCAAGCCGUCGCUGCCGGCGACGUGGCUCAUCCUGCACGCGCUCUUCUGCGCCACCUCCAUGGCCGUCGGCUUCCGCUUCUCGCGCCUCGUCGUCUUCCUCCUCUUCCUGCCCACGCCGCCCAUGAACCCCUCCGCGCACCUCGUCUCCCUCGUCACCCCGCCCGUCAUGCUCGCCAGCUCCAACGCCACCGCCACCAUCACUACUACUACUACGACCACCACCACCGUCACGACGACGACCACGGUGGCUGAGAGCGAGGCCGGAUCCAACGCGCACCACCAGGUCCACCACGGCCCGGUCUUCGUCGGCCGCCACGCCAUCCGCGUCCGCAAGUGGCCGCACCCGAACCCCGGCGAGCUCCUCAAGGCCCACAGCAUCCUCGCCGCCGUCCAGGAAGCGCAGCGCCGCAGCCGCAACCGCCUGGCCGACCCGCUCAGGCCCGUGAUUGCCGUCACCCCGACCACCACCUCCGCGCUCCAGGCGCCGUCGCUCACGUCCCUGGCGCACACCCUCCGCCUCGUCGACGCCCCGCUCAGGUGGAUCGUCGUCGAGCCUGGCCACCGCACCGACGCCGUCGCCGCCGUGCUCGCCCGCUCCGGCCUCGACUUCCUCCACCUCGUCGCCUCCGACGGCGCCUCCACCGCGCGCCUGCGAAUGCACGCCCUCAGGGAGGUACGGAAGGAGAAGAUGGACGGCGUGGUGGUGUUCGCGGACGAGAACGGCAUCCUCCGGACGGAGCUGUUCGACGAGGCGCAGAAGGUCAAGUCCGUGGGCGCCGUGCCGGUGGGCAUUCUGGGCGAGGACGAAGGCACCAAGGAGUCCUUCCUGCAGGCGCCGGCCUGCGACGAGGCCGGGAAGCUGGUGGGCUACCACGUAUCGGAGGAGACGCUGCUGCCGGCGGCGCGGAGCGACAUGCUGCUGUCCACCCGGCUGGAGUGGGCCGGGUUCGUGGUGAACGCGCGGGUGCUCUGGGAGGGCGCGGCGGAGCGGCCCGAGUGGGUGCGCGACCUGGACGCCGUGGACGGCGGCGCGCACCUGGACAGCCCGCUGGCGCUGGUCACCGACGCCGGCCAGGUGGAGCCGCUCGCCAGAUGCGCCCAGGCGGCGCUGGCGUGGUCGCUCCGGUCAGACGCUCUGCAUGAAGUCAAGUUCCCGCAUGAGUGGAAAUUUGAUGCUCCUCUAGUAAGCGCCGCUUCGCGUCAGCAGAGCAGCGUAGUAAAUACUGAAGAUGGUCACUAG
This 1290-nucleotide ribosomal RNA is filed under the name Triticum aestivum (bread wheat). Its description in RNAcentral is "partial small subunit ribosomal RNA". Lineage: Eukaryota; Viridiplantae; Streptophyta; Magnoliopsida; Poales; Poaceae. The record is from RNAcentral.